ACACACACACAGGACCUGCACCUCCACUAUUUACAUUCCCCUACACUUGAUAUGGCCACUGACCCUGCAUUGUAAAACAACAUAACCGAGGGCCAAGAACUCACCACUGCAAAACUCUCCUGCUGAUAUAAAGUGGGAGAGGAGGAGGAGGAGGAGGCUUGAUGGAAACAAACGGAUGCACUGUAUAUGCACUAUAGUGGCUAGACAGUAAUGUGAUGGAUCCAUUUACUGUACUGAGGCUUACCAUUGUUGGCAGAACACCUCCACAGUUUGACUUUCAGCGUGUUGUUUUUCUUUCCCAGCUUCACUCACAGUCGGGGAAUCACUUGCUAACAAAGCUGUUGCUAUCAGUAGCAAAAUAGCAAACAGACUUUUUUCUCUUCAGUUCUAACAAGCAGUAGUGAAGAAAAAUAAUGCUGCAAUUAAAUCUGUCGAGGUAUUUCUUAAAAGGGAUUUUUUCCUGAUAUAAAAGGGCACAGAUAUAUCAUUGAGCUAUGGAUGGUAUAUUGUGUCAGUUAGUUUUUAGCGUUUAGUAUUUAUGCUACAAAAUGAGGUCUUACAGAAGUAUUUGUUCAUAGAGAAGGCUGGAUUUGGCACUCCUCAGGAUUGAGAAUUAUGUUUUGUUUUUUUUAAGGAAAUACUGUCACUAACCCAGACUGAGAUAAGAAGUGAGAAGGUCGUUAUUAGUUGAGUUGUUUUCACUUCUGCUGUUCUCUAACUCCCUCUGCUUUGUGCUAAAAUAGACGAAAGUCUGUACUGGAUGUACAGAAAUGAAACUGAUAUUGAUCUUUCUCAUCUGAUUCAGGGUAAGUUGAGGCAUAUUUCCCCAAAUAUCAGUUUUAAUUUUGAUUUUACAGCACCAGUGUGGCCCUUAGUUUGUGGUCAUUUGUUUCAGUGCAAAUUUCUUAAGGAAUAUGCUGAAGCACAAUAUAAACUGAAAGGUACUACCUGCCUUAUUACCUGUUCAUGAGGUUGACUUCGUUGACUAAGACUUUUCUCAGUGACUAACGUUUUAGUCGACUAUUAGGGGACAGCCCUGGUGGAAACAAUUAGAAAACCUAAAUUGCAGACGUAUCCGAAGCCUUUAGGGCAUUGAUAUUCACUCUCCGUGUUACAAACUGAUUUGCUUUAUCUGUUUGUUUUAGUACGGAGGAGAAUGGCCGGAGAGCAUCAGCAGAGUUAUGUCCUUGAAGUAAGGGGGGACAUGUGUUUGUUAGCGGCGGUUCUCAACGGCGAGAUCUCCAAUCAUCUGGUAUCACAAGACUACAGGCUGAGUAGUACUGAUCAUGACGUGUAAAUUGAUCUUUAUAAUUGUUAUUUGUUCAUAUUGUGUUUGCAUGGUGCAUAUUCCUUAAUAAGUGUGUGCUUAAUCAAAUUUCCACAAACUAAUGGAAGAGUGGAAGAAUGGAGGAGUCAACUGCAGCCAGUUUUUGCCCUAAGAUUAGCGGAUUAAUCUGGUCUAGAGUGUCUGUUUUUUACCUUCAGGUUUGACCCUCGUCCCACUUUUAAUCAACAUUCAGUUGGAUAUGUUCACAUUUCACUCUUGUCACAUUAUAGGAGAAAGGAAAAAGCUCUUCAACUGCGUGAAAACUGAUCCAUGACACUGGUUCCCUCUAAUGUCUGUGCUCCGAUCUCGAUGCUGUGAUGUCACACCACAUCUGACAAAUGAAAGGCAAGAUGAGGGAAUUCAUUUUUUUAGGGAGCGAGGAUUUUAACACAGUUUUUAUUUCACAAGCUGGUUAUUUUAUUAUUUUGACAUGUUUUUGUUUUAAAAGAACAUCCAAAUAACUGUAGUCGGUCAGUGCUAUGAUUUGUAGUUGCAGUCACUCCAGUGCUCCACACAGCAAGCACAAGCUGCAGAGUGUUUGGAAAGAUUUGGCUGAAAUCAGCUGUCAUUAGGCUGAAAAUGGGAAAUAGUACUAUUUCUGAUGUGUCAUAGUUUAAUGUUCCACCAUGGACUUAACCACUCCCCUUGUUUUUAUAUGAGUUAUUUACUUGAAGCGGUGACUGAUGUUUGAGUCAGACUGAAGUCCGCUCUGGACUUAUUUUCUCAAGACUUUCUGUUUCACUCAGAGCCCCUCUAUCAUGUUGUGUUUUAUAUGUGCAAGUCUGUAUUCUGUUAGUCGAUGACCAGUCAUAUGCUUCAGUCAGUGUUUUGACACAUACAUGCACUGCAGUUGGAUUCUGCUCAGAGCACGUGUUCUCCUAAACGUUACUUUAAAGAGUAACAUAUUGAGUUUCUAAUUUUUGGUAAAAUUUGGUAAUCAUGGGGAGGAAGAAGUCUUACACUUGGCUUAGUUAAAGCAAAGCUUGUUAAUUUUUAGUGUUCAUAAUUGAGAGCAGUUAUAACCACUAGCAGUACUUGGGUCUUAGGGACGUCAUACCUUGUAAUGCAGUGCUGGAUGUCUUCUGAUGUAGCUUAGAAAUCACUCCCACAGGAAGAAUUUUGAAAAAUACAAACUCCCCCUUGACAGCCUCUUUGUUCACCACCACGCUAAACAGCAGUGUGCUUAGUGCUGCCACUGGAAGCCGAAUAUAGAUCAGUGACACUACUGCUAUAGUGAGUAGUCUUUCUUUAAUAUAACUUCCAGCCACUGCUGCUGAUUAAAGUUCCGGUUUGUUAGCAUGGAUCAAAUCCGGCUUUAUAGCUCUGUGAUCUAUGCGUCUUCAGAACCCACCGAGAGCAUUUCCGAGGCUUGCCGCAGGUGCGUCGCAACUUCUAUUAAAAAUUAACCAGCUGCAUAUUCUCUAUGGAGCAUAUGCAUAUAGCAUAUGGCAUUGUCUAAAACAACGAAAUCAGAUCCAGUUGUCACAGCCACACUAGUUGUUGCUAAAUCGAUUGCCCACGAGCAGGGGCGAGUUUGUAUAUAUUCAAAUUAAAAUUUUCAACAUUCUUCCCAUAACACAUUUUAUGAAUGCAUAUUUUACAGUGAUGUCUAGGUUCCAUUAGACAUCCAUCCAGGACUGUAAUAUAAAACAUGAUGGUCAUGGAUUAGGGCUAGGUCUCGGUAAGAUGCUAACAAGCUGUAUCUUGGGUUGAACUCCAGAACAAACAAAUUACUUUUUAAACCGAUAACUGCACAAGCACAUUAUGAUGAAAAAUAAUUUGUAACUACUAAGACGGUAUGUAAACCCUGUCUUUGUGUUGGAUCACAGCAGCCUCUGUAUAAGGCUUUGCCCUGAGUUGUACGACAAGAUAAUCUUGUGUUAUUUAGUGUUAUAUUUGGUUCUGCAGUCGCCACAUUGAAGAAGAUGAUGGUAAUAAGGAGGUCAAUAGCAUGACGAACAACGAUUCCCCCGUCCCUCCAGAUACUAUACCUGUGUGGAACUGCCUUUCUGGGGGUAAAAAUGCUAAGAAUCCGUGUAAUGUGAAUUCAUCCAAAUAGAACAGAAAUCCUGGAGUUAAAGUUGAUGUGCAGCAACUAAUUCUGCCAGAUAGAAAUGUGAACUGCCUCUCCCUGCCAUUUUGUGUCUUGUUUACAUAUCAUGAAGAUUUACUUUGCUGUAGCUGUUACAACUGUGUAGCUGUAGGGGAGCAGUGUUCCGGGUGUGAGCUUCUCUAAGCUGUACACGGCUGACAACCUCCAGCUUCCAUCUACUUCUGAGCCAUUUAAAGCAUAUUUGCAUUUUGAACCUCUGCCAUGCUCCUGUUACACUGUAGUGAAAAUGUUAACUCAUGAGGAACUUCAUUACGUCGGUUUUCAUUCUUCAUUGAAGCCAAAGGGGUGUUGUCAGCUGUCAGCUAACAAGCUAGCUUGUUGUAAUCUGCCACCCAAUAGUUUUGAUAAGGAAUCCUGACAUGUAAAUCUUAAAAAGAAAAGUCACAAAAACAGGUCACAGAUAUACAGAUAUGUGGACUUGAGUCACAUGAAUGACAUCGAAUGAUUUUACAUUAGGCUUGACAAAAUCAAACCAAUGACUCGUGACUUUACUUGGACUUGAGCCUUUUGACUUGAAAAAACGUGAUACCUUCCCCCAAGCUCAAAGAUUAAAAAGUAUUUAAAAUUCCCCCACGAAUCUAUUAUUUUCCAUAACUUCAUAAAACAAGUAACGUUAAUAUUCAUUCUUAGCAAGUCGACACUUAAUUUCCCAUAUCCACUUUGUUUGAACCAAGUAGCUGAAGAGAACCAUGAAGAAUUAACGUUACGUUACUGAGCGCCAUUUGGAAAACUUAUACUAAGGGUAAUUUUGUUCAGUUCAUUAUGUUGUUAAAAUGGUAUUACAUUUUGUGGAGACUCGUUAUGACAUUAUGCUUAGGACUUGAAACUAAAAGUUUUGGACCUGGGACUUGAGUGCAAAGAAUUGAGACUUACUUGUGACUUUAAAAACAAUUUGGCCCCUCCUUUGCAAAUAUAUAAUAUUUAUAUAAGUUGUAUCUUAAACAGACGCUAAUGUCAACAUUAUAUAACAUAACAUGCUGCUAACUAGCAGCUCACAAGCUAGCAGCUAUUAACCAUUAGUUUAUUAUGAAUGGCAUUGGUAAAAGAGUCAUUUCCAGUGAACUAAAGAGCUACCAACUUGUUCACAACAAUGUGACAGGCAUCUUGGGCACCAAAACAUGUCCCCUUAAAUCUGGUCUCAGUGGGUCUGUUUUAAUCACAGCUGGAUGGCUCAGCUGCAUUUUGAAAGCAACCCCUUUGUGAAACAUGGGAACAGAAAUCUAUCAUGUAGAAUAGAUCUGAGUGUCACAGGAUGCAAUGGUACCUUCUGCUUUGGGAGGUUUGGGCUACUUAUGAUAUCUUCACACAGUAUAAAUGACAUCUAGGAAGCAGAGGGCUUUGUAGAAAAUGUGUCCUAUGGACAGCAUUUGACAUACCUCAUCUGACAGCGCCAGACAGUCAUUGUUGGAAACUCUUUGGAAAAGGGCAGGCACUUGAUGAACCAUCUGUCUAUCAUCUUCUAACACGGGCGAACUUACAAUCAGAUCAACAUGUAACUCAUGAUUACCUACCAGUAGUUCCUCAUCGGACGAUGAUUGGUCCAGUACCACUGUGGUUGGACACAAGCUCAUAGCUUGAAGCCUGGCAAGAUGGAUUCUCAUGUGAUUUCAUAAUCUUGAAAGUCCAUCAAGGUUACAUAGUCCCUCCAGGAAAUUGCGAACGCGACAAUUAACACAAAUUCAACCAACCCCCCCGAAUUCUGUGCGACCUUAAAAUUUUGUCCAAUCCUCAGAUUUGACCAAUCAUAGUUUCCCAUAAGUUUCAUUAAUCAUAGCAGUACUCUCCACAAAAUGUUGACCUCGCAGAAGCAGAACUUAGUACUUGAAUAUAUGAAAACCUUAACAAGAAACAAUGAACUGAAGGUGGGCUUUAUUAGAGCUUUCAACCACGUCUCACCGUCGAAAGCUCAGGAAAAGGUUUUUGGUCAAACUACUGUUUCCAAGGUCACAAAUUAACAUUCUUGAAUAGAAAAGCUGUUUUUUGCCAACACGCUCACUGAGAAGUGAGCCCUAGUGGCAGUACAAUACCGGAGUUUUGGUACUGAUACAACAAUAUAUUUUCUGAAAUCCUUUUCAGAAGAAGAAUAUGCCGGAAAUAUUAAAUGUAUGUACAAACAUAAAAUUAGUCAAAUGAAACCAGGAACUAUUGGAUCAAAGAAUCAGAUGCAGCAUAAUGAAUGACAGAUAUGUGAUGGUACUCUUCGACACUCACUGUUGCAGCCACAUUUGUGCCAAAAUGUGCUGACACUUGAUCCCCAGCCCACUGCGAACUGUGACCCUCCAUCUGUUCCUCAUGUGUUUCUGCCCGUCUGCAGUGUACUCCUUAGAGCCGUAAGCUCAUCAUUCAUACUGUAUUUGUCAUCUGAUAUUUCCAUUGUGCAAUAGAUAAUGUUUAUUUUUAUUGUUGUUUUGUGUAUCCUGUGAAACCAGUGUGAUGUUUUUGAUAUGUAGUAUAUGUUUUUAAUAUGAUUAUUUAAGCACCUGCAACUACCCCCUCCUCUGUGCUCACUUGGCAGAGGAAGUUCAUGCUUUGAUUUCAUUCCAUUACCUGCAGAAUCUACAAACCUUUCAUUCCAAAAUUCUUUUUAUCUAUUUCAGGGAAAGAAAGUGGUCAAGACGAUGCUCAUUACUUAACAAGAAAUGUUAGCAUCCUAUAAAUAAAUCUUUAUUCAAUGACAGCUGAAAACUAUCAAGAUUUACAAUUUAAAACUUUAAUUUUAAUGUGCAUUUUAUUUCUCUCAAAAUUGUGGAAAUUUCAUUUUGGUAUGAAGCCUUUGUCUUUACUGAUGCUUGAUAGUGAGCAAAAGUUAUUUUGGGGGACUUGUUUCAUUCUUUGUUCACUUAACUUUUUUCUUCUCUGAAGCUUUUGUUUUCUGCCUUCAACUGCCCUUCCUCCCAUGUAGGCAAAAUAAUCUGAUUCGUCUGUAUUAAGAUGAAUACAAUGUGCAUACAGUCUGUAUAGUAUCAUGUCUGUUAUAUUUGUCCUAUAAAAAGUGAAGACAAAGAAGAAAAAGUAAACUUAAUAAAGAACCAUUCGGAGGAUUGCUCACAGUUACACUAAAAGCUGAGGAGAGAACAGAUGCUGGUUUAUUUUGAACAGUGAUCCUCUAUAUGGUCUGUACUGUUUACUAGAAUAAAUAUUUCAGUUACAUGAAAA
This is a long non-coding RNA of Morone saxatilis (striped sea-bass), 6596 nucleotides long. RefSeq lists it as uncharacterized. Lineage: Eukaryota; Metazoa; Chordata; Actinopteri; Moronidae. The transcript has 2 exons. The record is from RefSeq and is a predicted model, not a curated record.